Molecule: ribosomal RNA, 275 nt
Filed under: uncultured bacterium
Lineage: Bacteria
Description: partial 16S ribosomal RNA
Rfam family: Bacterial small subunit ribosomal RNA
Source: RNAcentral
GCGUGAGUGAUGACGGCCCUAGGGUUGUAAAGCUCUUUCAACGGUGAAGAUAAUGACGGUAACCGUAGAAGAAGCCCCGGCUAACUUCGUGCCAGCAGCCGCGGUAAUACGAAGGGGGCUAGCGUUGUUCGGAAUAACUGGGCGUAAAGCGCACGUAGGCGGAUUGUUAAGUUAGGGGUGAAAUCCCAGGGCUCAACCCUGGAACUGCCUCUGAUACUGGCAAUCUCGAGUUCGAGAGAGGUGAGUGGAAUUCCGAGUGUAGAGGUGAAAUUCGU